GUUUGAUCAUGGCUCAGAUUGAACGCUGGCGGCAGGCCUAACACAUGCAAGUCGAGCGGUAGCAGGCCUUCGGGCGCUGACGAGCGGCGGACGGGUGAGGAACACGUAGGAAUCUGCCUUGUAGUGGGGGAUAGCCCAGAGAAAUUUGGAGUAAUACCGCAUAUGCCCUGAGGGGGAAAGUGGGGGACCGAAAGGCCUCACGCUAUGAGAGGAGCCUGCGUCGGAUUAGCUAGUUGGUGGGGUAAGAGCCCACCAAGGCGACGAUCCGUAGCUGGUCUGAGAGGAUGAUCAGCCACACUGGGACUGAGACACGGCCCAGACUCCUACGGGAGGCAGCAGUGGGGAAUAUUGGACAAUGGGCGAAAGCCUGAUCCAGCCAUGCCGCGUGUGUGAAGAAGGCC
RNAcentral lists this ribosomal RNA (401 nucleotides) under uncultured bacterium. RNAcentral describes it as "bacterial SSU rRNA". It matches the Rfam family "Bacterial small subunit ribosomal RNA", at positions 11 to 416 of the family's 1533-position model. The record is from RNAcentral.